Long non-coding RNA from Lagenorhynchus albirostris (white-beaked dolphin), 623 nucleotides. RefSeq lists it as uncharacterized. The transcript has 2 exons. The record is from RefSeq and is a predicted model, not a curated record. NCBI's taxonomy places the organism in Eukaryota, Metazoa, Chordata, Mammalia, Artiodactyla, Delphinidae.
GUCAGGGCUGGUGUCCGCUGGUCUUUCCACUUCAAGCUCACUGGCGUGGCUAGAGUUGAGUGGAGUAGUGAUCGAGCUGCGGAGGUUCAUGGCUGGGAUCUGCUCCUGGAGGGUCGUUGCCAUCUUGAAUUUGGGGUUUAUCAAUUUAUCAACUCAAUGUGUGUUUUUAUGUUUCUAGUACAUACGUAUUUAUCCACAAAAAUAGACGGCAUGUUUUAAUCUUUAUGUAAACGGUAUUCUCCUGUAACUAUUCCUGAAUUUCCUUUCAUCCCCCCUCAAUAUUUUUGAGAUUCAUUCAAGAUAACUGCUGUAUAAUAUUUCAUUUUGUGAUUACACUCCAGUUCAUUUAAACAUCCCUCUGUUCAAUAGAUAAUCACACAGUGAACAUUCUUGGACUUGCCUCCAAAUACACAGGUGUGAUAAUUUUUUAGGACAUAUUUCUAGGAGUGUACUUGCUGAAUCAUGGUGUACGCACAGCUUCACCUUUGCCAGACAGCGCUCCCCAGUGAUCAUAAAUCAUUUUACAUUCCUACCAGCAAUGUAUAAAAGUUCAUAUUGUUCUAUGUGGUUGCCAAACUUGAUUUACUUUAAUAAAGCUUUAAAAAGUUUCUUUUUAAACCAAG